GGCUCUCGUCAGGGGUCGGGUUGCCCUCGGGGACGAGGUGUUAACGCUGGAAUACGGGGAAAUAAUUUUUGAAGAACAGGCUUUCAGAAGGAACCCAGAAGGACACCCAGACUUUUGGCCUUGUUUUUGUGGGUCAAAUCUCAUGACAAUGCUGUGGAGAAAUGAAGAACAGACAAGAUGGUGCCUGCACAUGACCUAGUCUUUAGUAAUGGCAAUGAAUUUCUUUCCAGAUUAAAGGACUCCUCCUUUGGAGCACAUCAUGGCUCUUAUGCAUGGAAACUAGGUUGUGAGCACAGUGGGAAGCAGAAAACUGUGCACUCCAUCUUCUCCUAAGAUAGAGUUGUGAAGCAAAUGGGAGAGAUGUAAGUAACAAGACAGAGCUGGACUGAAAUGCCUGCUCAAGUAGCCUGUUUUUCCUCACUACCUGCCCUAGGAAUCCAAAUUUAGCCUCCCAAUUUUGGGAGUUGUAUGAUUUUAAUACCCCUUAGAAAUAACAAUUUGAAGUACAGCUAAAAUCAUGUGUUCCAGUGCCAGACUAAGACAUGACACUACAGAAAGGUAUCAGCAGUCAAUGAAGUAAUAAAGAAAAAGUCAACCAAAAAGCAAACCAAUUUCUUAGAUUGUGAAGAAAACAGAAGAAAAAUGCUGACAUGCUUUUGUAGUAAAUAUUCCAAGACAGCAAUCACACCAGGGUGCAGAUAAUUGCUCCAAAACAUGUUUUUCCUUUAACUUCUUUUGAAAUAGAAGUAUUAGCUACUUUCAGCAUUAGGUCAUAAUGAAGUUAAGCGACUGAAAACAAACAGCAUUUCAAAGAAAAACAUUUGAUGUUCUUGAUUUGUGACUAAAAAGGACCCCCUUCCCUUCUCUCCUUUACAAUGAGAUGUGUUUGGUGAGAGGACUAAUGCAGCUGUGGAUGGCUCUCCCACAGUCAGGGAAGAUGCAAUACUUUCUCAGUGUUACUGCUGUUGCUGCUGUAGAUGCAAUGGAGUUCACCUUAACAAAAGUAAGGGAAUCCAAGCCAACAAGUGCAGGGAUGACAAAAAAUUGGGGGAGGCAUUUGAUAGGCUGAGGGGUAUGGCUACCAGAGUAAUUUCCACAAUUGGAAUCUGAUACAAAUUUCAAGAAGUUCCAUGAAAACAGUGGCAAGCGCAAAGUCCUGAAGCUGGGGUAAAAGAGUACAGAUUGAGGAGCAACCUUACCAAAAAAGAAGGUGUGUAUUUGAUAAAGACGAACUACAUACUGGCUGUAUUAGCACAUGAGAAGCAAGAAGACUAAAAGGGGUAAUGAUGCUCCCCUACUCAACACUUGUGAGGCUUCAUCUCCAGAACCAUGUCCUGUCUUGAGUUCCCCAAAAGGAGAUGGACAUUGAUGGAAGGGACUAAAAGUCCAGUGAAGGGCCACGAAGGGGGAGUGCAACACACAACAAAAAAGUUGUGUGUUGCUUAUUUGAUAGCAAGAUGAUAAGGCUGAGGGGAGAUCCUACUGCUGCCUUUAAAUUACUUAUCGGGAGGGUACAGAGAUGAUGACAAAUUUUUCUUGAAGGUGGCACAGUGACAAGAAAAGAGUUGUGACUUGCAUUAAAGGGCAUUAAAGACAUAAACAAAAUCCUACAGCACAAGAGUUUACCCAGACAGCUCUACCAGGCUGCAACAUCUUCAUCCUUGGAGAUAAAUAAAACUUCACUGGGCAAGGCCCUGAGAAACUUGACCUAAAUCUGAAGUUACCUCCAAUUUGAACAGGAGGUUGAACUAAAUAACAUCUGGAGGUCUACUUGUACUUUAAUUACUGUGUGAUUCUAUAAAGUAGACAUUUAACAUCACUCAAAUUAAUCCUACCUGAAUGUUGUAAGAGGUGUUUUUCAAAAGGCUUUGCCUUGUAGAUAUUUAAGGAGUGCUCCUCUGACAUACGCAGUAGGAAGCAUGAACACUACCUUCCAUGUAAAAUAGUUUAAUCUUUUUUUUUCUGUACAAUUCUGUAACUCAGAUAUUUCACUCCAUCUCAAGCUGCUGAAAAGUUGUGUUUAAACAAUAUUCCCAGAUAGAAUCUUUCUUUUUACAAGCUUAAUUUUUAUCUAUUGCAUUUUUUUAAUCAGACAUCUAAAUACUAUGGGUUUAUAGGAAGUCUGUGAGGCUUUUGCUACAUUAUUACUGAUGUAAUUAUAUAAAAUUAAAUCAGGUUAUAAAACCAACAAAUGCACAAUCAUCUAUUGUAUUACGUGGAUAGAUUCUCUCUGAGGAAAUAUAACUACAUUAAAGAAAAAUUUUAAGAAGAGACUGCAUCACUCAGAAAUGCAGAGCAGCAGUUGUGGCAAAACUCUUAAACAAAAGAACACAAUAAGAUCUCAAGUACCUGCAGGCUACCAACUUACAGCUGCCGUGGAAUGGUAUGAUGAAUGACUAAAGUUUUACCUAUCAAGUGUUGGAUAAUAAGGUAAUCCCGUGCUUACAAACAGGAUUACAAUACAGUAUUAAGCUUUUAAAGCUGAGCUCAAAAAUGUAGAAGGCAAUCCUGAUAGAAUAGAUGUAACAUGGCAUUCUUACCUCCCACGACACC
This is a long non-coding RNA of Corapipo altera (White-ruffed manakin), 2553 nucleotides long. RefSeq lists it as uncharacterized. Lineage: Eukaryota; Metazoa; Chordata; Aves; Passeriformes; Pipridae. The transcript has 4 exons. The record is from RefSeq and is a predicted model, not a curated record.